UGCGGGGAGCCGCCGCCAAGCACUUCCGAGGCGCACCGGAAACGGAUGUGAUGUAUACCAAGGGAACUCGCUGCUGUCCGGCAGGAGUGACGUCAGGCGCACGCACUCUAGUGACGAACAAUCCGACUAGUUCCACGGAAGGCGGCGGCGCGUCCGGUCUCCCCGCAGCCGCCCCGCCCGCCGCUCGGCUGUUCCAGGGCUGCCGUCGGCAAACGCAGCCUCCCUCCCUUACCCUGACUGAAAUGACAGCGGACACCCGCGGGUCCCACCGUCUGCUCCCCAAACCGCCUCUCGGGGAGUUUAUAAAGAGAUGUUUUAAAAUCAGCCGCUGCCCGGUCUCUCAGGACAUGCCCAGCUGCCACCCUCCCCUCAGGGUCCACCACCCGCAGAGGCGCAGGAACUAGCUCCUGUCCCGCAGCCACGGCGAGGCCCGUCCUAAACCGUUUUCUGCAACUUGUCUCCGCUAUAAAAGGCCCCUGGCAGCAGAUUUUUAUUGCAGUUCCACCUCCUUUUAGUAGACCUGGACACUAAAGUCUAAGUUUUCCAGCUCCUGCAAACCCUGCCAACCAGGCUGGGACUAUACAGUACAGUCUUUUAUGGCAUCAUUCCCUUGGUCCAACCGAUUCUUCACUCUAUUAAGGAGGGAGGUGUUCUAAAAUGUGCUUUGGAAAAAUAGCUUUAUUAGACAUAAAUAGCUCUCAGUUCCUUUACAAACAUUGGUAUGCUUUUGUUCUCGAUUCAAAUGCAAAACUGUUUUGCUGCCAGUGGUGAGUAAAAACAAAAACCAAGAGCCUGUCUCAAGACUUGGCAACGCAAUAGUAGUAUCAGUAGUAGUAUCAUUAGUACAGGUGACCAGUUUGGGAGUAGUCUCAUUCUCCCAGCCACUGGGGCCAGUGAAAGGGAGAAGGCUGUUUGUUCUACAAGCGUUUCCUAGAAAGGUCUACAAAGAUCAUUGAAAAAAAUGACAACUCCAGCUCCUGGCCAGAGGAUAAAUACAGUACGAGUAGUGGUCUGGCAGAAGUGAGGACCUGGCAUACAAAGAGGGAGAUGCAUGAAGGGGAGAAAUUUCUGGGAUUUAAGCUGGAUGUCCAUCAUAACCCUGCACUUUCAGGGAUAGCCCCAUGCUCAUAGUGGAGGGUCCAAAAAGCAAGUUAAGGCUACCAUCAAAAACACCACACAUAAGGAUCAGCUAAUAAUCUCUGUUAUAUGUUUUAUGUCAAAAUGGAAUAUGUAAUAUUAAUAACUUUAGUAUUCAUUUGUUACAGCUAUAAUUAAGUUACAAAUACAAGAGCAAGAGUCUCCAAACUGAAGUAAUUUAAAAAUGCACCCAUUCUUUAUCAAAUCAGUAAAAGAAUAAGGAAGUUAUCUUACAGCGGGCAAGCAGCUACACAAUCUUAGUUCCAGAAAACAGAAUUAUAAUACAAAUCAAAAACAGCUCAGCUAUAAAUGGCCACCACUAUUUUUCAUAUAUUAAUUCACCCAUAAGACACAGGGAAUUGAAAUCUAGUAGACUGACUGCAUCCACUGAAGAAAAUUGUGCCAUUUCCCCAUUAAUAGAAAAAAAGUCAGCAGUAUAACAACUUUCUUCAAAGAAACCAUCAGCCAUUCAUCUUGUAUUCUAAGAUGUAGUGAUAAUAAAGUUAUACUUGGAGGGCA
This is a long non-coding RNA of Crocodylus porosus (Australian saltwater crocodile), 1656 nucleotides long. Lineage: Eukaryota; Metazoa; Chordata; Crocodylia; Crocodylidae. The record is from Ensembl.